CCUACGGGUGGCAGCAGUGGGGGAUAUUGCACAAUGGGGGAAACCCUGAUGCAGCGACGCCGCGUGGGCGAAGAAGUAUUUCGGUAUGUAAAGCUCUAUCAGCCGGGAAGAAGAAAUGACGGUACCUGAGUAAGAAGCACCGGCUAAAUACGUGCCAGCAGCCGCGGUAAUACGUAUGGUGCAAGCGUUAUCCGGAUUUACUGGGUGUAAAGGGAGCGCAGGCGGCACGGCAAGCCUGAUGGGAAAGCCCGCGGCCCAACCGGGGGACUGCCUUUGAAACUACCGGGCUGGAGUGCCGGAGAGGUAGGCGGAAUGCGUAGUGUAGCGGUGAAAUGCGUAGAUAUUAGGCGGAACACCAGUGGCGAAGGCAGCCUACUGGACGGUGACUGACGCUGAGGCACGAAAGCGUGGGGAGCAAACAGGAUUAGAUACCCGUGUAGUC
Molecule: ribosomal RNA, 442 nt
Filed under: uncultured bacterium
Lineage: Bacteria
Description: partial 16S ribosomal RNA
Rfam family: Bacterial small subunit ribosomal RNA
Source: RNAcentral